Long non-coding RNA from Brienomyrus brachyistius, 368 nucleotides. RefSeq lists it as uncharacterized. The record is from RefSeq and is a predicted model, not a curated record. Lineage: Eukaryota; Metazoa; Chordata; Actinopteri; Osteoglossiformes; Mormyridae. The transcript is spliced from 3 exons.
CAAAAAUGUGUAAAGGAGUGGAGAUGUGAACAGGAAGGUGUAGACAGGUUGGAGAUGUGAACAGGAAGGUAUAAAGGAGUGGGGAUGUGAACAGGAAGGUGUAGACAGAUUAGGGAUGUGAACAGGAAGGUGUAAAGGAGUGGGGAUGUGAACAGGAAGGUGCAGACAGGUUGGAGAUGUGAACAGGAAGGUGUAAAGGAGUGGGGAUGUGAACAGAAAGGUGCAGACAGGUUGGAGAUGUGAACAGGAAGGUGUAAAGGAGUGGGGAUGUGAACAGGAAGGUGUAGACAGGUUGGAGAUGUGAACAAGAAGGUGUAAAGGAGUGGGGAUGUGAACAUGAAGGUGCAGACAGGGUGGGGAUGUAAACA